RNAcentral lists this ribosomal RNA (305 nucleotides) under uncultured bacterium. Its description in RNAcentral is "bacterial SSU rRNA". It matches the Rfam family "Bacterial small subunit ribosomal RNA", at positions 335 to 657 of the family's 1533-position model. The record is from RNAcentral.
UUACCUACGGGAGGCAGCAGUAGGGAAUAUUGCUCAAUGGGGGAAACCCUGAAGCAGCAACGCCGCGUGGAGGAUGAAGGUUUUCGGAUUGUAAACUCCUUUUGUUAGAGAAGAUAAUGACGGUAUCUAACGAAUAAGCACCGGCUAACUCCGUGCCAGCAGCCGCGGUAAUACGGAGGGUGCAAGCGUUACUCGGAAUCACUGGGCGUAAAUAGCGCGUAUGCGGGAUAGCAAGUCAGAUGUUAAAUCCUAUGUCUUAACCAUAGAACUGCAUUUCAAACUGUUAUUCUAGAGUAUGUGUGAGU